UCCCCCGGCUCUGCAGCUCCACACUCAGCAGUCUGCCAGAGACCAGCGCCUCGAAACCCACCACCACCUCCCGCUCACUGAGUGGAUACACAAACAGCCCUAAAGUCCCAUAGAAGGAGGAACGAAGCACACCAUGAAGGAUAGAAUGCAAGAUUACAGGGUGGUGGAGCAUAUUCCUGUGCUCACUGGGAGGAAGGCAGGAAACACCUUGGACCGGCUGCCAGUCCUAGGGCAAUUUAGCAUCUCCAAUUGGCCUGCCUUCAUGUCUUUCAACAGGAAACAGGAGCCCCCAAAGAACACGGGAAGAACAUGCAAACACAUUGAAAGGAUGCUGGUCGUCCGGCUGGGAAAUCAAACCCAGACCUCAGGGUUCAGAUUCAGUGUUAGCGUAUGUCAGGUGUGCUGUGAUGCCCAGUGAACAGCCAUUGGCACAGGAAGUGAUGCGGGAGCUCUUCAGCAAGAGUGGAGCCCAUGUGGCACGGUUCCUCAAACCCGGCAUCCUCCUUACACACACACAAACACACACAUGCACAAAACCUGCUGAUCAUAGCAUCGCACACACUU
Long non-coding RNA from Pygocentrus nattereri (red-bellied piranha), 564 nucleotides. RefSeq lists it as uncharacterized. The transcript has 3 exons. Lineage: Eukaryota; Metazoa; Chordata; Actinopteri; Characiformes; Serrasalmidae. The record is from RefSeq and is a predicted model, not a curated record.